GGCCAGAUAGCACAGCGGUUAGUGCGCAGAUGUUUGAUUUGAGGUUCAAGCAAUAUUUGAUCUGCUACCCUUGUUCAACUCGGGGUCUGGCCU
Molecule: non-coding RNA, 93 nt
Organism: Mycena metata
Lineage: Eukaryota; Fungi; Basidiomycota; Agaricomycetes; Agaricales; Mycenaceae
Source: the annotation of a GenBank genome assembly